AGAGUUUGAUCCUGGCUCAGAUUGAACGCUGGCGGCAUGCCUUACACAUGCAAGUCGAACGGUAACGCGGGGGCAACCCUGGCGACGAGUGGCGAACGGGUGAGUAAUACAUCGGAACAUAUCCAGUAGCGGGGGAUAACCUAUCGAAAGAUGGACUAAUACCGCAUACGAUCUACGGAUGAAAGCAGGGGACCGCAAGGCCUUGCACUAUUGGAGUGGCCGAUGUCGGAUUAGCUAGUUGGUGAGGUAAAGGCUUACCAAGGCGACGAUCCGUAGCUGGUCUGAGAGGACGAUCAGCCACACUGGAACUGAGACACGGUCCAGACUCCUACGGGAGGCAGCAGUGGGGAAUUUUGGACAAUGGGCGCAAGCCUGAUCCAGCCAUGCCGCGUGAGUGAAGAAGGCCUUCGGGUUGUAAAGCUCUUUCGGUGAAGACGAAACGGUUAGCGCUAAUAACGCUGACUAAUGACGGUACUCACAGAAGAAGCACCGGCUAACUACGUGCCAGCAGCCGCGGUAAUACGUAGGGUGCAGGCGUUAAUCGGAAUUACUGGGCGUAAAGCGUGCGCAGGCGGUUUGCUAAGACAGGUGUGAAAUCCCCGAGCUUAACUUGGGAAUUGCGCUUGUAACUGGCAAGCUAGAGUGUGGCAGGGGGGGGGUGGAAUUCCACGUGUAGCAGUGAAAUGCGUAGAUAUGUGGAGGAACACCGAUGGCGAAGGCAGCCCCCUGGGUUAACACUGACGCUCAUGCACGAAAGCGUGGGGAGCAAACAGGAUUAGAUACCCUGGUAGUCCACGCCCUAAACUAUGUCAACUAGUUGUCGGGGAAGAAAUUCCUUGGUAACGAAGCUAACGCGUGAAGUUGACCGCCUGGGGAGUACGGCCGCAAGGUUAAAACUCAAAGGAAUUGACGGGGACCCGCACAAGCGGUGGAUUAUGUGGAUUAAUUCGAUGCAACGCGAAAAACCUUACCUACCCUUGACAUGCUAGGAAGCCCGCAGAGAUGUGGGUGUGCCCGAAAGGGAACCUUGACACAGGUGCUGCAUGGCUGUCGUCAGCUCGUGUCGUGAGAUGUUGGGUUAAGUCCCGCAACGAGCGCAACCCUUGCCAUUAGUUGCUACAUUUAGUUGGGCACUCUAAUGGGACCGCCGGUGACAAACCGGAGGAAGGUGGGGAUGACGUCAAGUCCUCAUGGCCCUUAUGGGUAGGGCUUCACACGUAAUACAAUGGUCGGUACAGAGGGCUGCCAACCCGCAAGGGGGAGCUAAUCCCAGAAAGCCGAUCGUAGUCCGGAUCGUAGUCUGCAACUCGACUGCAUGAAGCCGGAAUCGCUAGUAAUCGCGGAUCAGCAUGUCGCGGUGAAUACGUUCCCGGGUCUUGUACACACCGCCCGUCACACCAUGGGAGUGGGUUUCACCAGAAGUAGUUAGCCUAACCGCAAGGAGGGCGAUUACCACGGUGAGAUUCAUGACUGGGGUGAAGUCGUAACAAGGUA
Molecule: ribosomal RNA, 1494 nt
Filed under: metagenome
Description: bacterial SSU rRNA
Rfam family: Bacterial small subunit ribosomal RNA
Source: RNAcentral